AGCAGCCGCGGUAAUUCCAGCUCCAAUAGCGUAUAUUAAAGUUGUUGCAGUUAAAAAGCUCGUAGUUGAACUUCAGGCCUGUCCAGAUGGUCCGCCUUAAUUGGUGUGUACUGUCCUUGGGUGGGUCCUACCUUCUGGCGAAGCGGCAUGGCCUUAAUUGGUUGUGUCGGGGAACCAGGACUUUUACUGUGAAAAAAUUAGAGUGUUCAAAGCAGGCAAAUAUGCUCGAAUACAUUAGCAUGGAAUAAUGGAAUAGGACGAUGGUUCUAUUUUGUGGUUCUAGGACCGUUGUAAUGAUUAAUAGGGAUAGUUGGGGGCAUUAGUAUUCAAUUGUCAGAGGUGAAAUUCUUGGAUUUAUUGAGGACUAAUUACUGCGAAAGCAUUUGCCAAGGAUGUUUUCAUUAAUCAAGAACGAAAGUUAGGGGAUCGAAGACGAAUCAGAUACCGUCGUAGUCUUAAACCAUAAACUAAUGCCGACUAGGAAUCGGGCGAUGUUGACAAAAUGACUCG
Molecule: ribosomal RNA, 510 nt
Filed under: uncultured Paraglomeraceae
Lineage: Eukaryota; Fungi; Glomeromycota; Glomeromycetes; Paraglomerales
Description: bacterial SSU rRNA
Rfam family: Eukaryotic small subunit ribosomal RNA
Source: RNAcentral